RNAcentral lists this transfer RNA (75 nucleotides) under Acidobacteriota bacterium. RNAcentral's name for it is "Acidobacteria bacterium tRNA-Lys". It matches the Rfam family "tRNA". From Rfam's summary of the family: Transfer RNA (tRNA) molecules are approximately 80 nucleotides in length. Their secondary structure includes four short double-helical elements and three loops (D, anti-codon, and T loops). The record is from RNAcentral. RNAcentral also lists the same sequence under 1 other name. Lineage: Bacteria; Pseudomonadati; Acidobacteriota.
GCCAGCGUGACGCAGCGGCCGCGUGCCCGCCUUUUGAUCGGGACGAGGUGGGUUCGACUCCCACCGCUGGCACCA